CCCGCGUCUUUUUGUUUGCCCUGAGCAACCGUGAUGAAGCAAAUCAACACAGACGGAGAUGCUUUUCUUUUCAUUCACACUUUAAAGAAAGAACAGCACUACUAUGUUGACACAAUGGCCAGAAAUGUUGGUCAUUAAAUAAUUGCUGGGUCACAGCUUGGAUGAGCCUGACGGUGGUUGUGCAGGACUGCAACUGAGACUGGUCAAUGGCACCAUCUAGUGUUUGCCUCUGUUUGUGCGUUUAUGUGAGAGAAUUAUACAGUC
This is a long non-coding RNA of Mugil cephalus (flathead mullet), 264 nucleotides long. RefSeq lists it as uncharacterized. The transcript has 2 exons. NCBI's taxonomy places the organism in Eukaryota, Metazoa, Chordata, Actinopteri, Mugiliformes, Mugilidae. The record is from RefSeq and is a predicted model, not a curated record.